This 3452-nucleotide long non-coding RNA is filed under the name Triticum aestivum (bread wheat). RNAcentral's name for it is "long non-coding RNA (TAES_LNC015533)". Lineage: Eukaryota; Viridiplantae; Streptophyta; Magnoliopsida; Poales; Poaceae. The record is from RNAcentral.
AAGGUGAUGACCACAGGCAUACCCUCUUCCACCCCCGCGCCUUCGCCCUCUUCCACUGCCUCCCCCCGUGUCGCCGCCCUCUUCCUCGGGCAGCUCUCGUGGCUUCCAGGUCCAGCUGUUCGAUCCUAAAGCAACAGAGUAAAUAUCGACUAUACUUAAUUACCAUUAUAGAGAUUCUCUCCUACAAAUUCAUAUGAAACAUAGUGUGUAUAGAAGCAACACGUACAGGUCAACUCCAUAUAUUUGAAUGAACACAUGCAAAGUAUUCCACGGCCUUCUAUAUGAAAUUUAGACCAUUUUUGCUGCCAAGGUUAUAGAGCAUUACUUGUCCUGUUUCUGGCACAAAACAAUUUAUGACUUCAAAAAAAAGAAAUAAACUGAAUUCUUGCAGCUGAACACCGCGAAAUAAAAUGCAGUAAUGCCUUGUCUCAUUCACUGAGUACUAUAGUUGAACAAAUUACAUGUGAACCUCACAGAAAUAACAAUGCACUGUAAAGGACAUGAGAAACUUGAGGCCUAGAUUGGGUUCAGCUCACCUUCUAGCACAUGACGAACUCAUCUGGACAACAAUACACCUAACUUGAAUUACUUUUUAUUCUUCCCACACUUUGGGUGCCUGUAAUCAAAGCACACGCCCAAGAAAAUUCUAUAUGAAAACAUUGCAAAAAGGCUAUGGUACAGGUUAGCAAGUAAUCCUAUGCAUAACUGAGGGAAUUACAGAAAAACAGAUUCAGAAAAAGGGAAGUGAAUGUGCAAACCUCAUUCAGGUUGCUCUCCUCGCCGAGUUGCUUCAAAGUAGGAGGAACAGCUCGGCAAGAUUAUGGAGGAAGAGGUUUCCAAUCCUCACGCUCCUGUAGCCCACGUCCUCAUCGAUGAUACGAAGAGGAGAGACGAGCUGCUCUUUCCGCCGACGUCAUCUCUCUCUACUCAGUGCCACCGCCGCCUUCGCCGCCAUCUCUCUUUUACCAGCGCUGCCAUCCCCAUCUCUCUCUGCCCAACAUCGCGGGCUGGAAAACUGAAAGAAACGAUUCACAAAAGGGAAAAUUUUGUUUUUGCCACUCUUGAUUUUGCCAAUUUUCAUUAUGCCACUCUAGGUUUUGACAUUUCACUUUUGCCACUCUUAGUUCUUGACAAUUAUCUGAAUUGCCAUUCCGGUGGCAAAAGCAAAAAAUUUGGAGUGGCAAUUGUCAUACAUUUCAAAAGCUAAGAGUGGCAAAAAUGAAAUAAAAUUAUUCUGCUUUUGCCACGAAAUGGCAAUUGUGAUAAUUGUCAAAAACUAAGAGUGGCAAAAAUGAAAUGUCAAAAUCUAGAGUGGCAUAAGGAAAAUCGGCAAAAUCUAGAGUAGCAAAAACAAAAUUUUCCCUUCACAAAAUGUACAAACUUUAUUCUACACACUGCUGCAAGCUAUGAAAAACAGAAUAUCCUCAGGUGCAGGUUGUUCAAAACAACUUCAAUUGGUUGCACCUUAGUCAUAUCAAAGCUUAUUUGAAAGAAUAACAUCAAAGAGUCCUCUCACCAAGUGCCCAGGCAAUGGGAAGCACAUGGAAAAACCAUUGAUGCUCCUUUCCGUAGAAGAAAUAAGUGAAUGGACAAUCUUCUCAUCUCUAUAUAUUCUCUCGUACAAUCCAGCUUGCAAAACAGGUGCAAGGAACAGACUGUUGCGUAAUAAUAUUAGCAAACUUUAACCAUGAACAGUUUUCCUUCCCAUAACCAUAAGCAAUGGAUCUUCAUAACCCACAUGAUAAAAUCCAACAAAUCAUUGAUUCCCUUCCCCGUACCUAGUGAAAAAUAAAUAAAGACAUAAACCUGUAGCAUCAAGUGAAGCAGCAUUUGUGACUGUUACAACAGAACAGAUAUGUACAUGAUCAAAUAACAAAAAGACAUUUUGAUACUUCUCAACCGAUACCCCUAUAUUCUCAUAAAGUAGGUGAUACAUACAAGAUAUGUCUAAUACGUUCAAUGGUAGGGAAUUGGAUAAUUAAAAAGAAUAACUCCAGUCAUCUUUACUUGUAGUGACAACCAUAUUUUAACAAUUUGUCCCAGGAAACAGUUUGAGCUUUUAAACUGGCAGUCAACUUACUAUCAACGGGAAACACCACGCUGCACUAUAUUUUUGUAAAUAGUUUACAGAAGAUCUGACAACUCUGAAAUCCUGAGCAGUAUCUAUGCAUGUUUUAGCAUGGUACUAAGCACAAAUUGUUACCAGCUGUAAAUAUAGCAUACUAAUACAUAUAGUUGAACAAUCACUAUAUCAUAGGACCCUCUCAUCUUUCCUCUCCCUUUCUCCAUCGUGGGCGGGGGCGGCGGCGGCGGCGCAUGAGGAAUGAGGGUAGGGUCACGGGGUGGGCUAGGUCUCUCUGUCUCGCUGCCCGCUCGCCUUCACCUACCCUCUUGAACUAGCCGCCAUCAUCGAGCAGCGACGGGAGCACACCCACAUCCGCCGGCCCACCAACCCCUGCUGCGCCUCCACCACGAGCCCGCUCACAUCUGCCGGUCCACCAAUCCCUGCUGCGGAGGGUUGGAGGCGCGGAUCUUGGGGAGCUCGGGGGCGUGCGGUGGCCAGAGCUUGCCGGAACCGGCCGGCGUGGGUGAGGGUUUUCUCCUUCCUAGCAGUUCUUGAGGGUUUAUAUGUUAACAUGAUUGCGUCUAAACACAAUAGCUAUUCGCUACAGGAAAAGGAAUCCCAUAUUCAUGCAAUCCCUUGUUCAAAAGGAUAUAAAGAGCCAAUGAACUUCCAUUGUGGUUAACAACUUCUAUUUAUUUAUGGUCCAACAUUGUAACCAACAACCUAAAGCACUGAGCCACUGCACCUUUCAUUUGCAUUUUCACAUAGAAUUAUUUAUCUAUCCAACAUCUAAACUCAAAGAACAUAUGCUUGACUGACACAACUGAGCAAUAACAACAGACUGUAACAGAAUGGAGAGGCAAGUAGACAACCACACGGACCUUCAAAUGCUUGAUCAGGGGCUCUAAAAACCCUAGGAACUCAAUCCCAUCGAGCACCUUGAAGACGUAUUCAGCAUUGAUCUUAUGUAUCUUUCCGUCCUUGCAAACAUGUCGUAGGUCUUCCCUGCAAAUAAGAUCACACUCAUGUUACUAUCAUCAUCCGAUAAACAUCACAUCAUGGGGAGAAGCCUAAUAUUAUGAUCUUGGACGUCUUCCCCUCGACCAAAGAAUAGAGCAAUUAGCUAAAGACCUCAACGAUGCAGAUCCUAAACCAGCAGGCUAACUAAUGCGAAUAAAUUAAGUACCGCUAUUUUCUCCCCCUAAGAAACCCCAAAUAUUUCACACAAGCAUCAAAUUCGCCAACCAGAUUACCAAAAAAACUGCAUCAAAUCAAUAAGGAUUACUCCCAAAAACAUAGCAAAAACAGGGAUGAGGAAGAACAAGGAGAUGCAAGGCAGGAGGCACGUCCGUGGCGGAGAAGUAGUGGAUGAAGAUGAGGACGCUCU